CCUACGCGAGGCAGCAGUGGGGAAUAUUGGUCAAUGGACGCAAGUCUGAACCAGCCAUGCCGCGUGCAGGAAGACGGCUCUAUGAGUUGUAAACUGCUUUUGUACGAGGGUAAACGCAGAUACGCGUAUCUGUCUGAAAGUAUCGUACGAAUAAGUAUCGGCUAACUCCGUGCCAGCAGCCGCGGUAAUACGGAGGAUUCAAGCGUUAUCCGGAUUUAUUGGGUUUAAAGGGUUCGUAGGCGGUCUGAUAAGUUAGAUGUGAAAUCCCGAGGCUCAACUGCGGAAUUGCCUCUGAUACUGUCAGGCUUGAGAGUAGUUGCGGUAGGCGGAAUGUAUGGUGUAGCGGUGAAAUGCUUAGAGAUCACAAAGAACACCGAUUGCGAAGGCAGCUUACCAAGCUACUUCUGACGUUGAGGCACGAAAGCGUGGGGAGCAAACAGGAUUAGAUACCCGUGUAGUC
This 460-nucleotide ribosomal RNA is filed under the name uncultured bacterium. RNAcentral describes it as "partial 16S ribosomal RNA". It matches the Rfam family "Bacterial small subunit ribosomal RNA", at positions 338 to 795 of the family's 1533-position model. The record is from RNAcentral.